This 23-nucleotide transfer RNA is filed under the name Drosophila gibberosa. RNAcentral's name for it is "partial tRNA-Met". Lineage: Eukaryota; Metazoa; Arthropoda; Insecta; Diptera; Drosophilidae. The record is from RNAcentral.
AGGUUUCAGUCCUUUUCUUUUUA